AUUCUCUUCAACCUUCCCUUCUGCUGUAUUCCUGCCCAGGUCUCACCUUGGUUCAAUGGGGCCCAACUUGGCACCUCUGGCCCCCUGAGCCCGAGGUUCCCAUCACCCUCCACACUGCUACUAGUAGAAGAGCUGUGGCAACAAAAGGAAACAUGAUGAUUGAGAAUAGACCUAAAGAGCUCCCUUAACCUGAAAAAAGUAAGAAGAUAAUAAAUAAGGAGAGGCUGAAGAAUCUCUUCAGAGUUUCAAGAAUACCAUAAAAGAUCCACAUCUCCUCUUUCCUACUUCCUCUGACUCCCAGUGAGAAAACAAGCUCAACAAAAUCCAUUACGAAAACGGAGAGUCAUAUAAAGCAAAUUAAUGCAUUGGAUAUGUUGAAAAAAAUAUGCCCUAAUCUGCCCUCUGAGUCCAUUCUUUCUCUAUCUGGAGGUGGGCAACAUGUUUCAUCAUGAGUCAUCUGGAAUUGGGUCAGCUCUGGUGGCACAGUGGAUAGUGCCAGGCCUGAAGUCAAAAGGACCUCACAUCUUCCUAGCUGGGUGACCCUAGGCAAGUAAUUUAACACCCUUUGCUUAGCCCUUUCCCCUUGUGCCUUGGAGUUAUUACUAACACAGAAAGUAAAAGUUUUAUGAAAAAUGAAUCCUCUAGAAUUAUAGUGAGUUUUCUUAAACAACAUUCCUGAUCAGAGUUCCUAAAUUUUUCCAAGUUGCUUGUCUUUACAAUAUUGCUCACAUUAUUCUCUUGGUGCCCCUCAUUUCACUUUGUAUUCAUUCAUACAAGUCUUCCUAGGUUUCUCUGAAACCAUCCCCUUCAUCAUUUCUUACAGAACAAUGUUAUUAUUUCACCACAUUCAACUGACAGGCAUCCCCUCGGCUUCUGAUUUUGUCACUACAAAAAAGAGCUGCUAUGAACCAAUGUAACCAAAAUUAGAAGAGAAGUAACAAAGUGGGAAACAAUCUUCAUAACAAAAACCUCUGACAAAGGUCUAAUUACUCAAAUUUAUAAAAAGAUAAAUCAAUUCUACAAAAAAAUCAAGCCAUUCUCCAAUUGAUAAAUGGGCAAGGGACAUGAAUACGCAAUUCUCAGUUAAAGAAAUCAAAAUUAUUAAUAAGCACAUGAAAAAGUGUUCUACAUCUCUUAUAAUCAGAGAGAUGCAAAUCAAAACUCUGAGGUACCACCUCACACCUAGUAGAUUGGAUAAUAUGACAGCAACAGAAAGCAAUGAAUGCUGGAGGAGAUGUGGCAAAGUUCAGACAUUAAUUCAUUGCUGGUGGAGUUGUGAAUUGAUCCAACCAUUCUGGAGGGCAAUUUGGAACUAUGCCCAAAGCGCACUAAAAGACUAUCUGCCCUUUGAUCCAGCCAUAGCACUGCUGGGUUUGUACCCCAAAGAGAUAAAAAGGGAAAAGACGUGUACAAGAAUAUUCAUAGCUGCGCUCUUUGUGGUGGCCAAAAAUUGGAAAAUGAGGGGAUGCCCUUCAAUUGGGGAAUGGCUGAACAAAUUGUGGUAUCUGUUGGUGAUGGAAUACUAUUGUGCUCAAAGGAAUAAUAAAGUGGAGGAAUUCCAUGUGAACUGGAAUGACCUCCAGGAAGUGAUGCAGAGUGAGAGGAGCAGAACCAAGAGAAUAUUGUACACAGAGACUGAUACAGUGUGGUACAAUCAAAUGUAAUGGAUUUCUCCAUUAGUGGCAAUGCAGUGAUCCUGAACAACUCAGAAGGAACUAUGAGAAAAAAACACUAUCCACAUUCAGAGGAAACACUGUGGGAGUAGAAACACAGAAGAAAAACAACUGCUUGAUUACAUGGGCCAAGGGGGAUAUGGCUGGGGAUGUAGACUCUAAAUGAACAUCCUAGUGCAAACAUCAAUAGCAUGGAAAUAGGUUCUGAUCAAGGACACAUGCAAUACCCAGUGGAAUUGCAUGCAGUUAU
Long non-coding RNA from Monodelphis domestica (gray short-tailed opossum), 1923 nucleotides. RefSeq lists it as uncharacterized. NCBI's taxonomy places the organism in Eukaryota, Metazoa, Chordata, Mammalia, Didelphimorphia, Didelphidae. The record is from RefSeq and is a predicted model, not a curated record.